Long non-coding RNA from Mya arenaria, 818 nucleotides. RefSeq lists it as uncharacterized. The record is from RefSeq and is a predicted model, not a curated record. Lineage: Eukaryota; Metazoa; Mollusca; Bivalvia; Myida; Myidae. The transcript has 2 exons.
ACAAAACGAUAGGGUAGUGUUUUCGCUAUUUUUACGCUCAAAUAUUAUUACAGAGCCGAGUGAUUUCUACUUUCGAUUCAGAACGAGGCUUUUUCAUGUUACUUCCGCAUUCUUAAAUAAUUUUUCACGUAAAAUUGAAUUAAUUACAGUCUUCUAAAGUGAAUUAAAAUCGCAGAGCGAUCUGGACAAUUCAAGAUGUCUUCCAGGAAAAGGAAGCGGGCUUAUACUUGCAAGGAAGUGCUAAAUACGAUCUGUUAUGACAGUAAUAGUAAUAUUCCGGACAUCGAAAUUGGAUUCGGAUAUGUCAAAUGAAAGUUCGGAUGACGAUAUUAGUGAGAAAACUGUUUCAAAUCCGUCAUCCAGACCACAAACACCUUCAGACCACGGACAAGAGGUUGAGGGGACAAGGUAGAGCGAUCGGGAGAGGGGAAUAUUCGAAAAGAAGAAGCAUCGACCAGAUUGUGCAGUGCGAAGUGACAGACAGACUCCUGGAUGGAGUAUAAAACAAACAUAUUUUAAAUGCAAUGAGUGCAACAUUCCUAUGUGGGCAGCCCGUGUCAUUCACACAAACAAGAACUUUCAGGAAGCUGGACGCGUGGUCCAUAAUGUUGAUGCAUAUGUACACAUGUAGAUUUGUUUAUAAGCAAAAAUGUUUUCAUUUUAACAUAGUCAUUUUUUCUAUUGUAUAAGAAGUAAAGAAAGGAUAUGUACACAAAUGUAAUCACUAAAUAUUUAUGAACUUAAUGACAUUUUUUCAUUUUUUUAAAUUUAUUAUAUAAUUUAUUAAAUAUUUUGUAUAAUAAAAUUUCAAAAAAUCA